Molecule: ribosomal RNA, 1372 nt
Filed under: uncultured bacterium
Lineage: Bacteria
Description: bacterial SSU rRNA
Rfam family: Bacterial small subunit ribosomal RNA
Source: RNAcentral
GAUGAACGCUGGCGGCGUGCCUAAUACAUGCAAGUCGAGCGAACGGACGAGAAGCUUGCUUUUCUGAUGUUAGCGGCGGACGGGUGAGUAACACGUGGAUAACCUACCUAUAAGACUGGGAUAACUUCGGGAAACCGGAGCUAAUACCGGAUAAUAUUUUGAACCGCAUGGUUCAAAAGUGAAAGACGGUCUUGCUGUCACUUAUAGAUGGAUCCGCGCUGCAUUAGCUAGUUGGUAAGGUAACGGCUUACCAAGGCAACGAUGCAUAGCCGACCUGAGAGGGUGAUCGGCCACACUGGAACUGAGACACGGUCCAGACUCCUACGGGAGGCAGCAGUAGGGAAUCUUCCGCAAUGGGCGAAAGCCUGACGGAGCAACGCCGCGUGAGUGAUGAAGGUCUUCGGAUCGUAAAACUCUGUUAUUAGGGAAGAACAUAUGUGUAAGUAACUGUGCACAUCUUGACGGUACCUAAUCAGAAAGCCACGGCUAACUACGUGCCAGCAGCCGCGGUAAUACGUAGGUGGCAAGCGUUAUCCGGAAUUAUUGGGCGUAAAGCGCGCGUAGGCGGUUUUUUAAGUCUGAUGUGAAAGCCCACGGCUCAACCGUGGAGGGUCAUUGGAAACUGGAAAACUUGAGUGCAGAAGAGGAAAGUGGAAUUCCAUGUGUAGCGGUGAAAUGCGCAGAGAUAUGGAGGAACACCAGUGGCGAAGGCGACUUUCUGGUCUGUAACUGACGCUGAUGUGCGAAAGCGUGGGGAUCAAACAGGAUUAGAUACCCUGGUAGUCCACGCCGUAAACGAUGAGUGCUAAGUGUUAGGGGGUUUCCGCCCCUUAGUGCUGCAGCUAACGCAUUAAGCACUCCGCCUGGGGAGUACGACCGCAAGGUUGAAACUCAAAGGAAUUGACGGGGACCCGCACAAGCGGUGGAGCAUGUGGUUUAAUUCGAAGCAACGCGAAGAACCUUACCAAAUCUUGACAUCCUUUGACAACUCUAGAGAUAGAGCCUUCCCCUUCGGGGGACAAAGUGACAGGUGGUGCAUGGUUGUCGUCAGCUCGUGUCGUGAGAUGUUGGGUUAAGUCCCGCAACGAGCGCAACCCUUAAGCUUAGCUGCCAUCAUUAAGUUGGGCACUCUAAGUUGACUGCCGGUGACAAACCGGAGGAAGGUGGGGAUGACGUCAAAUCAUCAUGCCCCUUAUGAUUUGGGCUACACACGUGCUACAAUGGACAAUACAAAGGGCAGCGAAACCGCGAGGUCAAGCAAAUCCCAUAAAGUUGUUCUCAGUUCGGAUUGUAGUCUGCAACUCGACUACAUGAAGCUGGAAUCGCUAGUAAUCGUAGAUCAGCAUGCUACGGUGAAUACGUUCCCGGGUCU